Molecule: ribosomal RNA, 502 nt
Filed under: uncultured bacterium
Lineage: Bacteria
Description: bacterial SSU rRNA
Rfam family: Bacterial small subunit ribosomal RNA
Source: RNAcentral
GAUGAACGCUAGCUACAGGCUUAACACAUGCAAGUCGAGGGGAAACGAUAGAGAAAGCUUGCUUUUUCUAGGCGUCGACCGGCGCACGGGUGAGUAACGCGUAUCCAACCUGCCCAUCACUUGGGGAUAACCUUGCGAAAGUAAGACUAAUACCCAAUGACGUCUCUAGAAGACAUCUGAAGGAGAUUAAAGAUUUAUCGGUGAUGGAUGGGGAUGCGUCUGAUUAGCUUGUUGGCGGGGUAACGGCCCACCAAGGCGACGAUCAGUAGGGGUUCUGAGAGGAAGGCCCCCCACAUUGGAACUGAGACACGGUCCAAACUCCUACGGGAGGCAGCAGUGAGGAAUAUUGGUCAAUGGACGAGAGUCUGAACCAGCCAAGUAGCGUGCAGGAUGACGGCCCUAUGGGUUGUAAACCGCUUUUAUAAGGGAUAAAGUGAGUCUCGUGAGACUUUUUGCAUGUACCUUAUGAAUAAGGACCGCUAACUCCGUGCCAGCAGCCGAC